Molecule: non-coding RNA, 212 nt
Organism: Drosophila melanogaster (fruit fly)
Lineage: Eukaryota; Metazoa; Arthropoda; Insecta; Diptera; Drosophilidae
Source: Ensembl
UAGAACAGUUUCGAAAGAGCUAAAGAUCAGAGAACUUCCUUAUAGAGUGACGAUGUUACCAAUCUACAUAAACCUUCUGCUUUUUAUGCCAGCAGCUUUGCUCAGCAUGAUACAUUUAUACUUAUCCCUUUAAACUUUUGGCUUAGUAAUUCAAUUAUUCUCAUCUAAAACAGUGUAACAAUAACAUGAAUAAAUCAAAUAUUUAAAAAAGU